CAAAUAAAUGGUUCCCUCCGACCACACUGAAAACAUACACCGUCCUCAAUGAAAGAGCAUAAAUAUAAAAUAAGAGUGAGAGAAAGGAAAGAACACACCCGAGGAGUCAAGGCGGAUAAGUGAUUGCAUAAGCAGCUUUCGCGAGAAAAAUCAUAUCUUGAGCUAGGAGUAUCGGAUUGAGAUGUGCUACCAGUCGAUGAAAACC
Molecule: long non-coding RNA, 205 nt
Filed under: Lathyrus oleraceus (garden pea)
Lineage: Eukaryota; Viridiplantae; Streptophyta; Magnoliopsida; Fabales; Fabaceae
Description: Pisum sativum (pea) long non-coding RNA (PSAT_LNC005852)
Source: RNAcentral